RNAcentral lists this ribosomal RNA (301 nucleotides) under uncultured bacterium. Its description in RNAcentral is "partial 16S ribosomal RNA". It matches the Rfam family "Bacterial small subunit ribosomal RNA", at positions 509 to 807 of the family's 1533-position model. The record is from RNAcentral.
CAGUCGCCGCGGGAAUACGAAGGGUGUAAGCGUUAAUCGGAAUUACUGGGCGUAAAGCGUACGUAGGCGGCUUUGUAAGUUAGAGGUGAAAGCCCGGAGCUCAACUCCGGAAUUGCCUUUAAGACUGCAUCGCUUGAACGUCGGAGAGGUAAGUGGAAUUCCGAGUGUAGAGGUGAAAUUCGUAGAUAUUCGGAAGAACACCAGUGGCGAAGGCGGCUCACUGGACGACUGUUGACGCUGAGGUACGAAAGCGUGGGGAGCAAACAGGAUUAGAUACCCCGGUAGUCCCUGUCUCUUAUAC